GCCCCGGUAGCUUAGCCUGGCCAAAGCGCUUGCUUGGUAAGCAAGAGAUCGCGGGUCCAAAUCCCGCCCGGGGCUCCA
Molecule: transfer RNA, 78 nt
Filed under: Candidatus Bathyarchaeota archaeon RBG_13_60_20
Lineage: Archaea; Thermoproteati; Candidatus Bathyarchaeota
Also listed under: 3 other names
Description: tRNA-Thr
Rfam family: tRNA
About the family: Transfer RNA (tRNA) molecules are approximately 80 nucleotides in length. Their secondary structure includes four short double-helical elements and three loops (D, anti-codon, and T loops).
Source: RNAcentral